Molecule: non-coding RNA, 3691 nt
Organism: Nothobranchius furzeri (turquoise killifish)
Lineage: Eukaryota; Metazoa; Chordata; Actinopteri; Cyprinodontiformes; Nothobranchiidae
Source: RefSeq, a predicted model, not a curated record
CUGCUGCACUAUUGACGUGUUAGCGCGCGGCGCUAACAACUUAGCAACGUGACAUGUCUCUGAGAAAGCGUAAAACACGGACGCUUCUUCUGAAGCGGAAAAUAACACCUCUUCUUAAGCAGAGCAGGAUGUCGCCUCGGCUCGUUCACGGCCGAGCCGGACUGAGCUCGAUAACAUUGACCAAGCACAGCCACUGGGCCGUUGUAGCUGCCACCAGGCCUGCUGAAGGAACUCCAGCGGGUUUCAUCAGACUCGUAAAGUUUCUUGUUUUUGCUGGGGAUUUCUGUAUUUUACCGCUCCCUCCUGCAGUCUUCCCCUAUUAAAAUUUAAAAUGUGUAACUUUAUGUAUUGUGAUGAAUGACUAAUAUUCAUGUUAAACUGAAACGUUAGGCAUUUAGGGGGAAAAAACAAAAUAAUAAACAUUAUACAGAUGUCAAAUAAAUCAAACUGUAAUUAAACUAUAUAUUUUCAAAGUCAUAUAGACAGCAUGAUGGUUUGUGUGAUCCGCGCGGUUUCACUUACACCCCUUUAAUGAUCAGGCUGUUUUUUAUUAUUUUUAUCAGCUGAUAGCAGUUAAAAUUAUGGUAAAAAAUAAUUUUAUCUGUUUUUGAUAACUUAAUGCCCAGGAAGAGCAUCUUCCUGGGCAUUAAAUAUAACCCAAAUGUUUUAUUAUGAGCAGAUCUGAUGAAGGUUUAGACAAGCAGUCUGCAAAGUAAAACUUGUUUAGAGUCCAAACUCUUACUAAAGCUUUUGAAAAGAAAAAAUGGUUGAAUUUUGAGAAAUAUCCACAACAGGGGAGCGAGACCUCUGAAAAAUGUAUAUUUUCUCUGAAUUCAUAGAAUAAUGUGAAGAUUCUGGGAAAAGUUGGGAUUCUGAAAUUAAAACGUAAAUCUUUCUAAUCAUAAUUCUGGCAGUUUUUGUGUCCUUCUGCUGUGGAAAGUCGUGCAACAUGAAGAUACUGAGAAGAUGCUUACAACCUGUAUUUUUAUUCCAUCCACAAAUAAAAUCAUGAGCUAUUUUUUUAAUCCAAAUUUGAUCCAAAGGGCCAUCGUUGGUUCCAGACCCGUUCUAGAACAUUCCUCUAAUCUUAAAGUCAUCAUCAGUUUCUUCCUUUUAACAAAUAUUUAUUUGUUCAAAUAUUUAAUAUUUAUAACUGGAAUAUUUGUUCCUCCCUCUCCCACUGCAGUUAGUCCUGUCCUGCAACCCUGUUUUUGCAGCUUAGUGAAGCCAACCAUCACUAACCGGGGGGUGGUUUUGGACCCAGAGAUGCGGAUGGACUCCCACAUUAGCCAGGACCUGAUUGGUGUCCAGAACCUGCUGAAGAAGCACCAGGCUCUGCAGGCUGAGAUCACAGGUCAUGAACCUCGCAUCAAGGCUGUCACCCAGAAAGGAGAGACCAUGGUGGAAGAAGGUCACUUCGCUGGUGAGGAAGUGAAGACUAAACUGUGGGAGCUUCAUGGACGUUGGGACACGCUGAAGGCCAAGGCGUCCCAGAGGAGGCAGGACCUGGAGGACUCUCUGCAGGCCCAGCAGUACUUUGCGGAUGCUAAUGAGGCCGAGUCCUGGAUGAGGGAGAAGGAGCCCAUCGUUGGAAGUCCAGACUAAGGGAAAGACGAGGACUUGGCCGAGGCUCUCCUGAAGAAGCACGAGGCCCUGAUGUCGGACCUGUCGGCUUACGGCAGCAGCAUCCAGGCCCUGAAGGAGCAGGCCCAGUCCUGCAGGCAACAAGGUGAUCAGCAGGUGCUUUUGUCCUGCAGGACCUGAAGGCCAACGAGUCCCGCCUGAGGGACAUCAACAAGGUGGCAUCUGAACUGGAGUCAGAAGGUCUGAUGGCUGAGGAGGCUCCUAUGGUUCAGGCUCAGGUGAGCGUCACCUGUCUGCAGCAGCUGGUCCCUCUCACUUCCUGGUUUAACUCUGCUCGUCUCUGUUUGUAGCAACAAGAACAUCUGGGUUCUGCUCCUGGAAAGGUGCGUGUUGUCCUCCGCCUCCACCAGAACCAGACGUGGUGUUUAUGUUACCACUCAUUUGUUUGUUUACAGGAUGAAGCCGACUCUAACACGGCGUCACCCUGGAAGGUGAGUUCAUUCAGCUGAUCAGAGGUCACCUCUGAUGGCAGCAGUCACGGCCGACCGUGCUGACAUCACACAGGAAUUCAGGUGACCCGGCAGGCACCAGGUUUUGGUGAAAGUGGGGACAUGUCAGCUGGUUGCCAUGGCUAGUUAUCUUUAUGCAUCUGUAUGACUGCUGACUGGUGUGUGUUUCCUGUGACCUUUGACCUCAGACCGUACGGUUGGGCGUUCAGACGACGGCUAACUUUAAUUCCAUCAAGGUAAGAGGAAGCUCUUCCCUUCCUGUCUGAGCGAUCCGUCUCCAGGUUUCCUUGUCCGGCGUCCAGCCCGCUGGCGUCCACCUUCAUCUCACCUUCAUCUCAUCUCACUUCAUUUAUAGUGCAAUACUUUCACAUUAUCAUUUUCCCACACUUCUGUAUACCUGUAUUUUGUUGUUUUUCAAUAAAGAAUGACAAAUUAUUUAAGUUUGGUUUUUGUUGCACACAAAUAUAUAUCUGUAAAAAAUAUCUACAAAGCUAAUGUUUACAUAACAAGUAUGAUUGGGUUUUGCAAUACGGCACUCAAGUUUAUUUUAGUAAGAUUUUCAAACCAAGUAAAGUUAGUAAAGAACACAUUUCUAUUGUCUGCUAAGAAACUGUUGGGAUUUAAAAUGGGCCUGUUGUACAAAUAACUUGUAAAUGAUUAUUCCUCACUUUUGUCUUAACCAAAGAAAUUCCAGUAAUUGAGCAAAAACAUUUAUUUUUAACACUACAGUUUAUAAAACAGGGCGCAAAGUGUCGGCACAUGUAUGUAUGUCGAUGGUCCGCCCCAACCAAACCAAGAGACACAGACGUCAGGGAGGCCAAGGUUGUCUCUGCAGCUCUCUGGGCACCACGCCUCACUCAGCUGUCUCCAAUGAUCCAAAUGGCUAUGGAGGAAAAAAUAACAGGUUUGGCCUAGCUGUUUAAAGUACAAAACCAUUCAUGAAGUGGUCAAGACAAGUACUUGGAACUUACACGCUGCGUUGUGUAGCUGACGUUGGAGACACACAGGCUGCCAUGGUGACCUUUUAAUAGAUCUAAGAAAAAAAUGUAAUAAAAGAAUGAAACUUAAAAACUCCCAGACCUCAUGUCAUAUUUACUCAUCAGCUAUGGCUGAUUUGUUUGGAUCACAGUGAGUUACACUAAUUCUAAUAUAUUUUUAUUUCUAUUAUACAUACAUACUUUUUAACUGUUAUUUUCACAUGACUGUUAUCAGGCUCUCUUGUUCUGGUUCUGAUGAUAACUCUGUCUUCCAGUAAGUUAUCUUGUGCUUACUUCAUCUGUAUAAUGUCUCUUUACUUUUGGUAAAUUGUACUGAGUCCAGAAUAAAGGCUAGUUGGCUGUACAAGAUACAAACAAGUAUUACGUUUUGGAAAUAUAUGAAACACCGCCAGCAUCUGUUAGAGCCUGUGGCGGGGUGCUGAGGGCCGGCUCCAGCCCAGGAAUGAGCUCUACACGCCGGCCGGGAGGGUUUGAAACACCGCCAUCCUCUCCUCUGCUGGCUGUAAAUUCUGUUAUGGUUACCGGUGCUUGUGUUGCAAUGUGAAACGCUUGGUCUCAGAUUUUGUAAGAAAGAUAAUAAAAUGUCCCCCCAAAAUACGA